Molecule: RNA transcript, 3593 nt
Organism: Arachis duranensis
Lineage: Eukaryota; Viridiplantae; Streptophyta; Magnoliopsida; Fabales; Fabaceae
Exons: 9
Source: RefSeq, a predicted model, not a curated record
AACUAGUAGCUUCAGAAAAACAAAAGAAAGAAAGGAAAAAAGGAAGGAAAGAAAUGGAACAAGAAAGUGAGGGUUGCGAUAGAAGAGGGAGAGCGCCAGGGGAGGAGGAGCUACGCUCACCGCCACCGUCGUGUCACCUCCUCUGUUGCCACCGUCCGUCGCGCCGCCACCAUGCUACGUCACCAUCGAGAACAGAGAUGCGAAGGAGAGGAGGCGGCGGGACACUGUCCUCGAAGCUUCUGUCGUCACUGUGCAAAUCCGCUGCCAUCGUCAUCAUCGCGGGCUGCUGCUACGCGUGUGAUCGCCGCCCCUUCUGGGUCCGUCACCGUCGAGCAGAGCCACCGUGAAAAAACGUCGCUGUCGUAGAAGCUCUUGUCGCCAUGAAAAGCUGAUCCACCGCCGUUUGGGUUACCGGGAACAUGGCCGUGAUCACCGAAACCACCAUCGGAGUUAUCGCUAUUCAGUACAGUCGUUCUUCCUUGUCAGGGAUCGAGUUUUGGGUCUUGCAUGCUGAGUUCUAUGACUGUGACAUACGACAUCAAGCUGCUGCAUUGUCACCGGAGCUGCCACUACUCUGUUCUCUUGCUUAUUUGAAAGUACAGUAAUUUGUUCCUCGUCCCGAACCUCUAUAGUUGCUAUUCUGUUAUAUGUUUCUAAGGUCCUUGCAACGUUAAUGCUUUAGGAUUGAGUUUUGAUUCUUGUGUGUCGAGAUUAGAGUUGCUGUGGUUGCAGCUGUCGCGGAUUGCGCGCCAAGAGAAAAGGGUUUCAUUGACAAUGUUUGGGUUUUGGGUUUGGCUUGUUGAGAUGUGACGUCCUCUGCUGUCGCCGCCACCACUCGUGUCGCACAAGCUCCCUCCAUCGCCCUCAUCGCGUUUGCUCCCUUCAUUGCCACCGUCACACGAGCUCUUUCCGCCGUGCUCUUGUCUUACGAGCUCCUUCCGGCGUCGCUCUCGUCGCUGCUUCUUCUCUCCUCGCUGGAGGGAAGUUAUAUAUUCAAAUUAGAAACCUUUUCAGAUCUUCAUGUUUGCCGAGAACUAAUGGGUAUUGCCCUUAGCAAGCAUGGAGAAGCUGCAAAAGUCGUUUCGGAGGAACAAUUGAUUGCUGCUGAAAUGGGACAAAGAAUUAAGCUAUUACAAGAAGAUAGGUUAAAUUUCAAUUGACACCAGAGAUAAAAUAUCAGGCAUGCUUCAUAUAGCUCUUCCCUUUAUCAAUCAACUGGCUUUUCCAGUCAAACUUAAAUCAACUGGCUUUUCAAUUGACUCUUUACUUUCUUUGUAUUAUUGUCUUUCCAGAUUUUUGCCCUAAAACCAGCUGUUCACCAGGCAUUCCUCAAUUAUGGAGUUUUCUUGUAAUUCGAUUUAGCCUUCUAUUUCUGUUAUCCUAUAUCAGCUUUAUAGAGUUUCCUUUUAUAUAUCUUUUGUUGCAGAGUGAUACUAGUUUGAUAUUGUAAAAGCAGUCACAAUAUAGUUUAGAGAAUUUCUUGAUCCAUCCCUUUGCAACUAACACUAUUAUAAAUCUAUAGUUGAAUGAAUUGGAUAGGAUUGACAUGCUGAUUGUAGCUGGUCAUGUCUAACCCACUCUUUCUUUACUUACUGCCACAUAAUAUCUAUGGCUUAUCUUUCUUUAUGUAUUGUUAUUGUAUCCAUAACCUCUUUUUUCCAUAAACUUUUAUGUGCUAUUUAUUUGCUUUUGUUUAGUCACUGAAAUAAAGAUUUUGAUGUCUUCCAUUUUCAUAUGUAUUAAGUAUUAACUGAAGACCUUUUAUUCUAAAUGAUCUUAUGUUUAUUGUCAGGCUAUUCGAAAGGAUAAUAAACAUCACUUCAGCCUUAUAGAAGAAAAUGGGGGGUGCUACUUAUUCGAGCUAACCAAGGCCAUACAAUAACGUUAAACUAUUCGGUUUUAGUUGAAUGUUGAAAUGCGUAAAUUGGUUUUGAAGUUUUUAAGAAAACCUUCAAACCUGAAGUAAUUGGAUCUGUAAACAAUUGUUAUUUUUGUUAAACAAAAUUUAUCAUUUAUGAAUAUAAAAUUGGAUUCGGUAUGUUUAACAUAUUCAAAAUUACUAAGACCUUGGAUUUAUUUGUUUGUUUCUCUGUUUUCUGUACCUUGCAAUCAUCAGGUUUUAAGACAAAAAACGUGGAGAGUCUUAAUUGUUAUAGAAUAGCAUGUCUGAGUGAUAAAAGUGAAAGAUGUUGUUUUUUCUGAUGAGUGUUGCCUUCUCUUAUUCUGAUACUCUAGGUUUGCACUUCUUUCAAGGUUUUGAGCAGAGAAGUAUAUAGGUAAGGCAAAAGACAGUACUAAGAUUAGUUUUCAAAAGUUGUCAACAAAUACAGCUUAAGACCAGCCUUAAGAGUAAGACUUCACAUGAUAGUCUCUGGGGCUUGGACUUAAAGUCAAAAAUCGUAAGUAUUAACAUUCAAAUAUCUGAUUUGAGGAAUGAUGUGAAUAUAGUACUGUUUCUCAUCUGAUAAAUUGAUCAAAAUGGUACAAAAUGCAGUUCCUUCGAUUUGGGGUGUCCUCCAGGAACUUUGAUUUCCUAAUUGGAUUUUUUAUUAUUUGUGCUAUCUCUAAAUUGAUUUUCUGAUUUGAUUUUUUAUUAUUUGUGCUAUCUCUAAAGUUUUUUGGUAGAUAAUAUAAUGGAGGAGUGUAAAAACAAUUACACUGUAGUAGUUCUUGAGAUUAAGUUCUGAGCACCAUAGUUUCAAUCAGAUUGAUUGUUUAACUGUAAUUCUAUAAAUCAUUAUUAUAUAUGCAUACCAAACAGGUUCUAACUCUCAAACUGGUCAUCUAAUAAACUAUGAUUAUGUAUGAAUCGGUCUCAAAAUUUAUGCUAGGUUGGUUGUGUUCUUAAUUAUCCUUCAUAGCUAACCAAAUUUAAUUUUAGAUGGACCCAGGAGUCAGGCAGAUUUAGAUGACAAAUUGACCAAGUCUAAUAUUUAUUGUUUCCCGCAUGAAAUACCCAACUAUAUUGACCGAGUCUUGUUCUGCCAUCAGAAGAUGCAUGCACAUAAUGAUUGACCAUGGCUCAGCUCCUAAGAGAUGAGGAAGGAAAAAAGCUUGGUCUGAAAGGCAGUGAGAAAAAGCUCAGUUCAAAAAGAUAAUGAUGAAAAAAUGGCAGAUGUAGAGGGAUCUUCAAAUGGUGUGGAAAUUCUGUUCUUUAUCUCAAAAUUAUGUUGGUUGUCCCCACCACAACUUUCAACCUCUCUCAGUGUCAUCAUGGGCUGGCUACAAAAUAUAUCUGAAGAAGGAUAAGUGAAGGAACAAGAAGGCAAAGUUUUCUUUUGAGGAAAGCAGUAAUGAUGAAGAAGAAGAAGCAACAGAAAGAGUAAGUAAAGUGAAUUUUGCAAAUGAGAUAAGUGAAAUUAACACAGGACCUCCUUCACCAACUUUAUCUAUUAAUUAUUAGAGCAGCAAAAAUUGUUCAAAUGAAUUAGGAAAUUGAAUAGAAGUUGCUUGCAACAUAGGUCUUUUAAUUUACUAGUAUGAAGAAAAUCAUUUAGAGCCCUUUGAUACCCAUUAACAACUUUUAAUUUACUCAAUACACGUUGUUGAUGUAUGUUUGUUACUUAUUAUUAUAGUUGAUAUAUCAAAACACU